Molecule: ribosomal RNA, 285 nt
Filed under: uncultured bacterium
Lineage: Bacteria
Description: partial 16S ribosomal RNA
Rfam family: Bacterial small subunit ribosomal RNA
Source: RNAcentral
AAGAAAGCUUGCUUUCUUUGCUGGCGACCGGCGCACGGGUGAGUAACACGUAUCCAACCUGCCCUUUACUCGGGGAUAGCCUUUCGAAAGAAAGAUUAAUACCCGAUAGCAUAAUGAUUCCGCAUGGUUUCAUUAUUAAAGGAUUCCGGUAAAGGAUGGGGAUGCGUUCCAUUAGGUUGUUGGCGGGGUAACGGCCCACCAAGCCUUCGAUGGAUAGGGGUCCUGAGAGGAAGGUCCCCCACAUUGGAACUGAGACACGGUCCAAACUCCUACGGGAGGCGCAUG